UGUUUAUCAGAUUUCUGGUAACCUUUACAAGAAAUGUAUCUGAAUGCGCCCAGAAAAAGUUACUAUAAAGUUUCAAUGGAUGAUGGUAGGCAGUUGUAGGGGAGAACACAGUUUAUGUAUCUAAAUGGAAGUUAUUUCCAAACACGAAGGUGGAAUGGAAGAAUAUGUUGACUGGCUUGUGUCACUGGUUUUAAACUACUGGGUGGAAUUGUAACAGAGAUGUUAGGGAGUUGUGGAUGUAUUAUGCUAGAUAGUUGUGGCCUCUUUGAAAUUGUGCCUGCCAGUAAAUCCUCUACCAAUUUAAAAGCAACCUUAAAUUAGUUGGACAGCAAUGUGCGAACUAAAUGUAACUGUAAGAUUUCUUUUUAAUCUCAAAUGAAUAGCGAGAUAAAGUCCCCUCUGAACCUCCUUUUUCCCCAGCUCCCUCAGCAGGGACCUAGAUUCCAAACCUUCUCUGGACUUGCUUCAGAACCUCUAUGUCCUUUUUGAAGUGAGGGACCCAGAACUGGAUAUAGGUUUUGAGGUGUCUCCAGUGCCAAGUACAGGGGAAGAAUGAGGUUCCUGGUUCUGCUGGCCAUGCUGUUCCUGAUCCAGGAUACCAUUGGCCUUCUUGGCCACCUCGGCACACAUUGGCUUGUGUCCAGCUGCUGUCAGUCAACACCACCAUGUCAUUUUCUGCUGGGACACUUUCCAGCUACUUUUCCCCCAGCCUGUGGUGCUGUCUGGGCUUGUGACCCCAGGGCAGGACCUGGCACUUCACCUUGUUGAACUCACACCAUUGGCCUUGGCCCAUUGAUCCAGCCUGUCCAGAUCCCUCUCAGGGCCUUCCUACCCUCCAGCAGAACACAACUCCCAUGGUGUCAUCUGCAGAAUGACUGAGAGUACCCUUGAUCCUCUUGUCCAUAUCAUCGACAAAGGUAUUGAAUAUGACCUGCCUCAAAACUGAGCCCUGGGGAGCUGGUGACAGGCCUGCAGCUGAAUGCAACACCAUUCACCACCACUCUUGGCUUGCCCAUCUAGGGAGUUCUUUUACCCAGUGAACUCCUGGCCCACCUGAGCCAUGUGCAGACAGUUCCUCCAAGAGAAUGCUGUGGGAGACAAGUGUCAAAGGCUUUCCUGAAGUGCAGGUAAAUGACAUCCACAACCUUGCCUUCAUGUGCUCAGUGGGACACCUUGCCAUAGAAGGAGAUGAGAUUAGUCAAGCAGGGCCUGCCGUGCAAGAACCCAGGCUGACUGAGACUGAUAAAGACAAUGAUUGCUCUUGUUGUCCUGCAUGCACUGUGUGAUUAUACCCAAGAUAAUCUAAAUACCGGCAUUUAAGGUCAGUUCAUAAAUUUCAUGGCUUGGUUUUGUAGCUAUAUCCUCAGGGGUCCAGGAGAAAAUAACUAUAAUAUAUUGCUGCAAUAUGCAUCUUGUUGCUGGUUGACUAAAGAAUUAAAGAAAAAGUGGUGGAUACUCUUCCAUAAGAAUACUGUUAAUUCUUUUCCAUACAGACCAUUGAAAGAUUUAUUUGGUUAAGAAAUACCAAAACAGAUUUCUUUCAUGACUUGUGCCAUUCUGUGAGUUCAAUAUAUGUUGCUACUUCUAGCUAUUUGAGUUGUGUUCAUAACAAGAGUUACUGAUUUUGAUGGCAAGUUUUACUCGGAGAAGUGCAACUCUUAUAUACCAGUGGAGUGCCCAAGUCCUUUACUGUCAUACUUCUUGUCUGUGCUACUUACCUGGUACCAUUAUUGUUGCUUCUCUGUUUUCUUGUCUUUCCUUACUUAUUUACUUUACUUUAAUCCAUGACUUUUCUGUAUAACCUGUAAGAAUUUGGUGCUCGUUUGUACCCUCUUUAAUUCUUUCUGUUGUACAUGUGGAAAGCUCACACCAAAGGGUAACCAGGUGCCCAGAUAGGACAGUCCAGUGCCAGAAAAUAUAUUGGAUUUUUGGAUAGCCAAGGUAAUAACUAUGGAAUGUUGUGGGCUUUGGUUACAACAAUGAAUGGAACAUAAGCAGAGCUGAGGUGGUGAAAAUUGUAGUGUAGUCCUCAAGAUUCAAUGAAUUGUCAUUUGAGCUGGAUUCAGCUUGGAAGUCUUGGAUCUUAAACCACUGUCAUGCUGUCCCAGCUUCAGGAUAGACUGGACUUGUUGGUGACCUGAAAACAUAAUGCAAGAUUGGCGAGUGUAGUCUAGCUCACUGCUAAGAGAUAUUUAAUUUUGGAUCUUACUGAAUGUGAGAUGGGUAUCACCUCACAUGAAUUUUUAUGUAUUUCUUUAAUUCCUUCUUUAGGACAUGAUCUUAGAAAAGAAGAUAAUUUGGGAUCAGCAGUGAAACUGUCACUGCUGAUAAGUUUCAUGAACUUCCACAAGCCUUCUUAUUCAGUGUCUUCUAAUUUCUUGGCUUUGCUUAAUUUUUGCAUCACAAAAUCUAACUCAACUUUAGUAUGAAUGUAAGAAUCUCAGAGGUGGAUUUAUUUUCUUUAAGUAGAAGUCUUGUGUUGAAGAACUGCUAAUUCGAGGAAGUAUUUAGGAGAGUUGCACUCUCUCUGCCUGGAAUCCUUUCAAGCAAAGCACAGUACUUAGUAGCUGGUUUGUAUAAAACAAUGCAGAAGUCACCAAGUUGUUUUAAAUGGUACUUUCUAAAUUUUGGCACUUAGUCUGCAAUUUUAUCAGUUCUUCAUUUAAGUCUUGCUUUCAGGUAACUAUAUUUGGAUAUUCAAAUUUUAGGUGGAUUUGUUCACUGCCUGUGAUAAAAAGCCUAAAGGGUUACUUAAAUACUCCAAGUCAAAACACAAAUGCCAAAUUCCCUGGUGAUCUUAUCUAUUACAUUUCCUAUACAAGUUUCCUUUUGCAGUGUAUAAAUUGGAUAUUCCUGUUAAAUAGAAGAUAAUGAGUGACUUUUUUCUUGAUUCAUAGAUUCCUCUUGGACUGACAACAACAUUACUGUGUUGAGUAGUUUGUUCAAGGGUUUUUGAGGGUUUUUUCUUCUCAUAGAAUUUAACAGAAAAGGCCAAAUAGAAGUAUAUUCACACUCUUUCUGAACAGGGUAGAUUAAAGUAUUUUUCUUGCUGCUUUUUUGCACUGAAAUCUUGUUCUUGCUUUUCUUGUUUUAAGCCAUAUUUUUUGUGGUGUCUGCAGAAACUUUGUGUAUGUCUUUCAUCUGCACUUUGAUAAACUCCUUUUAGUGUUUAAUUCUCUGAUAUGUUCCUCACAAAAUGUAUAAAUUACAAUAGGUGAGAUUUUGCAUAUUUUUGUGACCAACAUUUAAUUCAGAAAUUCAAAUAUUAACAUGGCUUAAAGCUUCCUGGGCUUUGUGUGAAAUUUAUUUUAAACCACUGUAGUUAUGUCUAUGUGGCAUGUUCUAGUCAUGCAGAAGUUUUUAGAGCCUUGAAAACACAUACCAUCAUUUUUAGUUUGACUACUUGCCUGCUGUUUUUUGAUGAGGAAUACGAACCUCUAACAGCCAAAAAAAACCCCACCCAAAUCAAACUUCUUUUCACCAAGCAGUUCUUCACUGUUAAAGCUUUAUGAAAGUGACAAUACGUGGAAAAUGAACUCGAAGGAGGAGGAAGAAUUCUCUGCAACAGAUCUUCAUGUCUUUCACUAAGAGGACAUUUGUCAAGAUAAUUGCCUCAACUAUUGUACCUUGGAGCAGCAUGUACAAAACUGAUCUUAAGACUAAAGAGUCAUUAGUAUUUGAAAUAAUUGCCAGGGGAAAAAAAAAAUCAGGGAAGACUUUUUUCUUUUUUUAAAAUUUACAGAAGAUAAAAUUACUGAAGUCCAUGAAGAGGUUAUCCUUACCUAGUAAAAAGGCACAGCUGCUGAAAGAAAAAAGAAUACUCAGUAGAAAAUUGCAAAACCCAUUUUUGUUCUUAAAGGAACACAUUACAUGUCAUGUCAACUCCUUUACUGAUGUGUUUUGACCUUUCUCUAGGAAACUGGCAUUUCUGCAGUAUUCAGAAUUGGGUCAACCUUCAGUUAGUAGAUUUUGGACUUUUCCCUUAUCUGUAAUUAUUUCUGUCAACAAGUCAUAAUUUUGUGCCUGUUUAACUAGGAAUUAACCUAUAGCCUCCAAACAGCAUUCAAGAAAAUUUCAAGACUGUUCUAAAAGGAUAAGGAUAUUCAAAGUAUCUGUAAUAUUUCAGCUUCUUUUUCUACUGGUGCAGCUUGAGAGAGAACAGAGUUCCAGCAGCCUGGUAGUGAUACCCAGAUGCAGCUGGGGAAGGCAUGUUUUACACUGGGCGUAGGUGCAAGUAAAUCUCUUGUGGAGUGUUGACUUUGUAAAAGAUGCAUUUCCUCAACAAACCACAUGUCACUGGUUUCUAAAUGUGUUGAUAUAGUGUAUAUGAGCAGACACUCGGACUUUUUGUGAGGUAUGCUAAGUAUAUAUCUGGCAGGAGAUACUAAGAUUAUAAUGAGGUUUUUAAAUUGACAGUCUUAUGCUGUGUCAGAACCUUGUUACUCUAUAGAUGCAUUUGUAUGAAUGAACUUUUUUAUCAGAGAUGAAAUUAUAUCUUUGGAGUUUUACACUGGCUUUGGUCUUUAUUGGUUAGUAUAAUUUAAAACUAUAAACUAAAGUGUAAAUGCAGCAUUAUUUUAAUGAAUAAGGGGUAUAAUUAUAAUUAUCUUUUUCAGUAACUCAAAUUUUCUGUUACGCACUCAAUCACAAGGAAUAUUUUCCAGCAUUCUUUAGAAUGCUUCCUCAUCUGGUGUUAAAAUUAGGUAAUUCUUUGCAUUAAAACUGUACAGAUGAAAAUGUGUAUCCAGUUUCUUUCCCUUUUCUUAGAGGGUUUAUUUGAUACUUAAUGAUGUCUCAUAGCUGUGCUUUGCUCCCUGCUUUUUUACUGAGCAUAUAAAUGUGGAUAUAGGUCUAGACUCUCCAUUUUACUUACUGCCUGCCUAUUAAACAAUCCUUGCUUCUUAAGCAAGAAGAGUAUUCAGCCUACUUAGUGAUUGUGUUUCAGGGUUUAUCUCCUGUCUCAUAGAGCAUAUACACAUUCUGAUUGUAUUUGGGGACAAGUAAGUAAACUUGUACUGCCGCAUGUGGAAUAUGAUUAAAAAUGCCUGCUCCUCAGACCAAAGCAUUCCUCUUAAUCUUUGAUAUAGCUUAAGCUUUCAUAUAGAGUACCAUCUUUGUGUUUGUCUGGGUCACAGCAGUGUAAACAGGAAUUUUGGCAUGAGUAAUUCAGAUGUUUAUUUGUACCAAAAAGCCCCCUCCCUACCAACAUCCUUUUAAAUCUUACAAGAAUUUUGGAUCUCCUGUGAAGAUGAAUAUUCAACGCAUCAAUAGCAGGUAAGUGCUUUUUAAAAUACUUUACCUAAAUACUAUAUGGAAAAUAUUGAAUAAUCUUGUAAUUUUUACAUUGUCAUUUACUACAUUUUUCUACCCUUUUAGAUAUCCAAGAUCCAGUACUGGAUAGCCUUCCAGUCUGGUGUUUUUCUUGCCUCUUCAUGACCUCGUGUCUUGAGCAGCCUAGCUGGAUCCCCUGGUUCCUGUUUCUUCUUGUUUCAAAAUUCUGCUUUCUCCCAUUUUAGAUUCCCUACCCUUUUAUAUUCAUAUGCAUACACUAGCCUUUUGCUACCUAUUUUGGUCUUUGCUAUUUAUCCUGAGACUUUGGUUGGGUUCCAUGCAGUAUUUUCCAUGUGGCACUACUCUCCUGGAUUCCCUGCCACAGUGCAGUUAGUUUGUCUGAAGAACAUCCCUGAUGUGCUUUUGAGGUUUUAAUGGCCUGAUUGUCCUCAUCUACAUUUCUGUUCUGCUGCUUUGUCUUGGUCUAAGUAGACAUUGGAGAAGACAUUAAGGCUGUGCCUUUUGCUGCCCUACUUAGAAAGCAAAUGCGUGAACGUUUUUUUAAAGAACCAAGAGAGCCUGUGGGUUGUGGGGGAUGAUAAGCAAAGUGAAAAGUUCCUGAGAUAAAAAAAUGCAAACAACUCCCCUGAACAACAACAACACGUCUCCUCUUGGACAUGUUUAGAUUGAUGUUUGUUCUGCUCCUUUCUGCUCUAAUUAGGAAAUGCAGUCACAUUUUAGCUUUUAGGCUAAACGUAGUUCUUUCUUUUUUUUCCCCUUCUGUCAAAUAAUCUCUCUAUUUCUGUUUGAUUUUGUAUCAUUUUGAUGAGCCUUUCUUUGCAAGUGCUCAGCUGUGAAUCCCUUAUGCUCCACACCAUAUGAGAAUUGCUGCUGAAUAGAAUAUCUUAGAUUCAUCUGAAAUAUGUUUUGUUUUCUUGUGGAAUACACUCCCUUAAAAUAUUUGUUUUGAAUGUGGUUAUACAUCUCUUCAGAUAUCUGGCUGCUCCUUUGCUAAUGGAUUCAGAAAAGUCAUUAAGCAUGUGUGUAUUGUGAUCUCUGGCUCUAAGUGGGGCAUCUGGGGGAAAAUACCAAGUUUAAGUGUUUUCUGGCGUUCAUAUUGCAGUAGUUCAUGCUGAUUUCCUUGAGUACACAUUUAAAUUGUUGAUACCCUCAAAGUUUUAAGUUUUUUGUGCUGUUACUCUGUUGUUGUGUAGCAAGGAUUUAAAGUCUUAGUUUGACUUACCAUUCAGUUACAAAGCAGGAACAUAUUAACAUAGUACAUUACAAAAAUAUUUAAAUGUAAAGCUGUUAUGUCUGAGUUUCUGGUCAUGUAAAAUUCUUCUUUUGCAUAAUUCUUGCUGUGUGAAUCCUUUUUGGGGGGAUUGGGCAGGUGGUUCAGGGGAGAAAACAGUUUUCUUAUGCAAAUUGAAUAAGAUUUGUCAUCGGAAUUUAUAAGGACAUGUCUGUUUCUGCUUAUGAAAUAAAAUGGUAAAGCAGGUUUUGUGAAGUUUCGAAAUUAAAUAUUUUUAACUUAAAAAGUAACAUUUGCUCAAUAUAUAAGUAGUGAGUUUGUUUUUCUGAGUUUAGAAUACGGGAUUGAAGUUCUUGUCAUAAUUAUGUGAACUGACGUUUUCAUGGGAGUUCUUAUUUAAGGAGACCUCUUAAUGGUUUUAUAUUUCUUUGUAUGUUUUGGUAACAUAGAUCUAUCCAAAUAAAACACAGUCUAUGAUUGUUGGGUCUGAAUUAUAUAUUUUUAAAUAACAAUGUAACUUGUAUUGCCAGAGAUUUUUACAGUGCUGAAAUUUAAACAGUUACUUAAAGCUUAUCUGGGAGUAAUUGCAACUUUGUUCUUUUUUUCUUGUUGUGUUUCA
Agelaius phoeniceus (red-winged blackbird) is the source of this 7142-nucleotide non-coding RNA. NCBI's taxonomy places the organism in Eukaryota, Metazoa, Chordata, Aves, Passeriformes, Icteridae. The record is from RefSeq and is a predicted model, not a curated record.